RNAcentral lists this transfer RNA (75 nucleotides) under Bacteroidia bacterium. Its description in RNAcentral is "tRNA-Pro". It matches the Rfam family "tRNA". From Rfam's summary of the family: Transfer RNA (tRNA) molecules are approximately 80 nucleotides in length. Their secondary structure includes four short double-helical elements and three loops (D, anti-codon, and T loops). The record is from RNAcentral. Lineage: Bacteria; Pseudomonadati; Bacteroidota; Bacteroidia.
CGGGGUGUAGCGUAGUCCGGUUAUCGCGACAGCUUUGGGAGCUGUAGGCCGCAGGUUCGAAUCCUGCCACCCCGA